UUUUUGGUGCCCUGUGGCAAGGUGGAUGCAAUGUGACCCUAGCUCUUGGGUCCUUUGUAUGGGUAGUAACUGUAUUCUGCCCUGUAAGUGGGCAUU
Molecule: microRNA precursor, 96 nt
Filed under: Mustela putorius furo (domestic ferret)
Lineage: Eukaryota; Metazoa; Chordata; Mammalia; Carnivora; Mustelidae
Description: miRNA (ENSMPUG00000022427.1)
Source: RNAcentral